Long non-coding RNA from Oncorhynchus tshawytscha (Chinook salmon), 1623 nucleotides. The record is from Ensembl. NCBI's taxonomy places the organism in Eukaryota, Metazoa, Chordata, Actinopteri, Salmoniformes, Salmonidae.
CUAGAGAUCAAUAAGUUAAGGAGAGAGACCAAGGAGCUAGGGGGAGGAGAGAAAUGAAACUAGAGACGUCAAAUCAAAUCAAAUUUUAUUUAUUAUUGUAACGGUUUUCUUGAGGUGAAGGAGAGUCGGACCAAAACGCAGCGUGGUUUCUAUUCAUGGCUCUUUAAUAAAGACAACUAUACAUGAAUAAACUAACAAAACAAGAAACGUGAGAAAACCUAAACAGCCUAUCUGGUGACAACAAACACAGAGACAGGAACAAUCACCCACCAAACACUCAAAGAAUAAAUAUGGUUCCCAAUCAGAGACAACGAUAAACACCUGCCUCUGAUUGAGAACCACUCCAGACAGCCAUAGACUAUGCUAGAUUCCCCCACUAAGCCACAGAGAUGUCAUUACAUGCGAUGCAAAUGUCAUUAUAUUCAAACAGUCAUGAAAAAAAGGACAAAUCUAUAUUCUACGAGUGUUACAUAAUAUAUUAGAUCUAAUAAUAACAAGACAAGUACAAACCAGGAGAGGCUCUACAACAGUUUUAAAACAUUGAAGUGGUCCACAUUUUCAUUGAUAUGCCCAAAAUCACUCAAAGUAAAUAUCAUCCCGGUCUUGGUGAAUUUUAAUUGUAAAUAUAGUAACAGCAGUUAAUAAUUAAAGGGGGAAAUAUGAUCAAAUAAAACAUUUAAAUAUAUAUAUAUAUAUAUGUAUAUAUUUUUUUAAAGUUUUUAAAAAGCAAACUAAUUUUUCAAAUAUUUUAUUUAAUUUUUUUAAUUCACUGAUAAAUAGUGUGCAAGUUGCUUUGUACCUGGUGCAAAUUAAUAAUAAUUAAUAAGAAUUCAUUUUAGUCUGUUAUAUGGUUAAGUGUUAAAUAAUAGUCAUUUCAAAGAUAAGGGCCGAGCUUCAAUCAAAUCAGUUCUGACCACACAUGCAUAUGCUGGUCGGAGGAGUCACUGCAUUGGAGCUGUCCAAUCGGUGAGCAGCAGCUCUUGAUCAUUGUCACGAAGCCACACCCACUGGCAUUAGAAGUUCAGAACGAGACAGUGGUAUAGAAAUAAUAACUCAAAUUGAAUUUGUGCUUUAAGCAGGUAAUGCAUCUUAAAGCUACAGUCCUUAUUAACUGAAACAAUCACAAAUGAACACCUGCUCUCUGUUUUGUUUGGUAAUAAAAUGUGACCACUAUCAAAUUCAUACACAGAGCUAUGGAUGCCAGGACUGACCAUCCAUGAUAUCAGAAUUAUAGUUUUAAUCAUGUUUUAAAGCUGUACAGUGUUUGUUUGCAUUGUUUAGAAACAUCGGGGUAAAACAAGCUCAUAUUGUGGGUUCUGAUGGGGUACGACAGUUGAUCUAAACUCAUGAGGUAUUCAUAUGUUAUAUUCUUCUAGAAUCAAUGGGUAGAUAUAAUUAAUUUAUAAGUAAAAAAAUGGGUGUAGCAACUAAGGAUUCUAGCUUUAAGGCUGUAUCUAUGAGAGCUGGGAAACUGUUGAUUGGUUAAACCAAUGCCACAGCAGCUAUGCCUCAGGCUAUUAGCUAGCCAGCAGCUGUACCAUUAACAGAGCCAAACUGAGAGGCAAGGCAGCCAGAGAGAAGGAAGUUGGUCGGGGAGCACUUCCUGAUGUGGUUGAUGACCCU